CUUCCCAGCACCCGGCCCAGGGCUGGAGCUGGCUGCAGGGCUGGCCCGCGGCGACCUGGGCAGGGUGGCGGCUGCUCCCUCUCCUCCCACCCCGCCCCGAGGCGCAGCGCGCGGCAGAGCGGCUCGGUGCCCGGCGGGCGGGCGGCCCGGGCGGGCCUGCGGUCGGGAUGAGGACGGCGCCUCCGCUGCAGAGCGCUGGGGCGGCGCGGGCCGGGAGCUCGUUGGCGGCGGCCGGCGUGGCGGGCGGAGCGGGCCUCGGAGCGGAGGGCCAGCAUCCCAGCCAGCGGCCAAACAGAGUCCACAUUCAUGAGCAGCCAUUGAGGCUUUCCUACCGGCCGGGCACGGCAGCCGCCUGCAGAAUGUGACCGUUGGGAGCGUCCCUGAGCGGGGUUUUCCGCAUUCCUCCGGGGCUGCUGGGCCAAGGUGGCUGUGUGUAAACAGAGCCUGCGUCUCCAGGCCUGGAUGUGGCCAGCCGGGCACUGCCCACUGGGAGGCUACAGAAUGGAGCUUCUCUGCAUUCCGGGCAGGGGCAGGAAUGUGACUUGCUAAGAUCCCAGCCAGAGGGGGCGUGGGAGCCAGGAUACCCGGGUCUCCAUACUGGAGGAGGCUGCCCCAUCUGUAGAAGCCGGAGAGCCUGAUGCCAGGGCCAGUCUCCAUACUGGAGGAAGCUGCCCCAUCUGUAGAAGCCGGAGAGCCUGGUGCCAGGGCCAAUCUCCAUACUGGAGGAAGCUGCCCCAUCUGUAGAAGCCGGAGAGCCUGGUGCCAGGGCCAGUCUCCAUACUGGAGGAAGCUGCCCCAUCUGUAGAAGCUGGGGAGCUGGGUGCCAGGGCCAGUCUCCAUACUGGAGGAAGCUGCCCCAUCUGUAGAAGCCGGGGAGCCAGGUGCCAGGGCCAUCCUCUGUGCCUUACACCAGCCCUUCGCUGUAGGAACCUUUUCUACAGAGACAGCGAUAAAGCUCUCGAGUCACAUAACCGCUCUCCUACAGUGUGCGCUUCAGUGGCUUUCAGGAUAUUCACAAGGUUGUACAAACAUCACCACCAUCUAGUUCUAGAACGUUUUUAUCACCCCAAAAAAAACCCUGUGCCCAUGAAGAAGUCACUCCCUAUUCCCCUCUCCCAGCCCUCGGCAGCCGCUCCUUCCUGCCUGUGGAUUUGUGCAUUCUGGACACUUCGAGUACGUGGUUCCUACAUCCCGCUCGUUUGUGACUGGCUCUGUCACUCAGCGUCACAUCUUUAGGGUCCAUCUGUGCCGUGGCGGGAGUCGGCGCUUCCUUCGUCUUUGCGGCUGAGCGCUGUUCUGCCCCGUGGACGGAGCACAUUUUGUGCACGCACCCCUCCUCCGUUGGACGCCUGGCUUGCCUCCCCUGUCUGGCUGUUGUGAGUCCAGCUGCCGUGAGCUUUUGUGUACCGCUUCUGUGUGGGCACCCACUGUCAUCUCUCCUGGGCAGCUUCCUGGGGAUGGAAGUGCUUCGUCCCGUGGCCACCCUGGCCUUCAAGGAGCUGCCCCACUCUUUCCCACCGUUCCGCUCCCACCAGUGUGUCAGUGGUGGGAACCUCUUACCCCGACUCUGUGGAUGAGGCAACCAGGCCAGGGGAGGGUGAGGCGUUGGCUCAGGACCACACGACUGGGAAUGGGGCCAGGAUUCAAACUGGGAAUGGGGCUCAGGAUUCCCUGAGUAGGGAAGUCAAGGCAAGGGAGUGAGUGGCCAUGGGGACCUCAAGGCUGUGUCUUUGAACGACAGCGCAGUCCCCCAGGAGGCUCCCCCGCUGUGCCUCCCUGGCCCCCUGAGGACAGCACAGCCCUCGCCUCCUGAACACUUACCUGUCCACUCUCCACUCUCCACAUGCAGGGCCAGGUGCUUCCUCAAGGGAGCCUGGUGAAGCCGCGAGUGAGGUGGGGUCGGCCUGCGGAGGGCCCCGCUACGCUGCCAGAGAUGACGCUGUUCGUCCUUGCACAGCCUCCUCCCAAGGGACCCACAGCUUUUUUCCGGGGUGGCUGUGUGUCGAGGAGAAAGAAAUAAUCAGACUUUCGGGGGCCACUAGACACUGGCUCCGAACUGACACUGACUCCGGGAAACCCAGGACAUCCCUGUGCUCUCCAGGCAGAGGGGCUCACGGAGGUCAGGUGGUCACGGGGUUCAGCUCAGGCCUGUCUCACAGUGGGCCCAGCGGGUCCUGGGAUCUGUCCUGUGGCACCUUCCCCAGUUCUGGAUACACAUGGGAGUAGGGGCACCCACCAACUGGCAGGGGCCCCAUGGCUCCAACCCCACCGAGGUCAGGGCACCUGUCCAGAGCCUACCCAGUGGGGAGCAGUCAGAGGGGUUGGGGGAGGCAGGCCAGACUGCGUAACCCCACGUGGGGUCCAUGAGCACUGUGUGUCUUCUCCAGCCAAACAGGAGGCGGCCGCUCUGCCUGGGAACCCCCACUGCUCCUCCUGACCCAAGUCUCACUUGGACACAACCUCCAGGGGGCCUCAGUUUCCCCUUCCUAGGCAAGCUGACUUUUCCUGCACUGUCAGCUACUCUCAGCUGGAGAAAACAGGAAGCAGGGACGGCCACAGUGCUAACAUUCGGAUGCCGCCGGGCACUGCCCCAAGCAGCCCCUCCAGAGGGUAGAAGCCAGCAGGUAGACUAGGGAGACAGGCCAGUGUGUGAGGAUCCUAUAGUGGCUCCCUGGGGGAAGGCGUCUCUGAGCUGGGUGGGUUUUGAACGGUGACUGGGAGUUCUCCAAGCAUGCCAGAUGGGAGAGGGAAUCCCCAGGUUCUCCAAGCAUGCCAGAUGGGAGAGGACAUCCCCAGCAAAGGAAGCAGCAUAGGCAAAGGCGCAGAGACACAUUCCUCUUGGCAGAACUGAAACCUCUGGCAGCUCAUGGUCAGCAGUUCCGAAAGACCCGACCCAGGCAGCUGCCCACACCACAGGCCCGGGUGAAUGGCCCGCGUCAUUCUCUCCAAAUCAGGCUGCUGUCCUGGCGAUGGGACCAGCUCCGGCUGCCGUCCGCCCAUGUCAUGCAAUUGCAUUUGGGAGGUGUGAUAUAGAAUCCCACUGUGCCAGCUGCUGCCCGGGAGACUGUGGCCAAGUCCCCCGCAGCCUCAGUUUCCCCACCUGUUCAGUGGAGUGAUAAGAUGUGGAGAGCACCUCAAUGGUGCUGAGGCAGCACAGGGCACCAUGUGCAGGGUCUGGGUGCCAGCACCCCGUGGAGAAAGGAAAGAGCCGGGCAGCACACAGGGCUGGGAUUCAAAGCUGCCACCUCUUGCUUGGCAGAAGGGACAGAGCCAGGACAGUUGCUCCAUGUGACUGUGCUUGGCUGGCUGCGUUCCCCAGGUCCCAGCAUCCACAGGCUCAAGUCUGAUCCUGGGCAAAGCCCUGGGGAACAGCGAAUUCAGGGCCAUCGUUUUGGACAGACUGUAAGGGUUGGCUGUCUCUGCCACCCAAGGCAAGGGUGUCCCUCUCUGGCUUUGGUGUCCUCUUCAUCAAGUGGAGGGCUGAGUGGUCCCCACAGGCACAGGCCCAAUGCCUCGGGAUCGGGAGCCUCUGACCUGUGUAGGUGGGAAGGCUCUUGGGACAGGUGGGGCCGGGGGACAGGAGGCGGCGGGGAGCAGUGCGGUCUGUGGCCCACGGCAAGCACCCGACACAUCUUCAGGAGAUGCGAGGGGACAGGCUUAUGGCGGCCACAUCUCAUCGGCUUUCAAGAGAAGCCUGACUGAACUUUUCUGUAACAUCUCUUGGCUGGAAAUUUUUAUGAGCAUUUUGAACCCUGUGCAGGCAGGCUGGGUUUGCAGUCUGUGGGUCAGAGCUCACCAAUAGAAAUAGCUAGAAAAAUUUAGUAUAAUAUGAUAUACAACAUAAUGUAAUAAAGUAUAAUGUAAUCUAAAGAUAUGAUGUAUGACAACCUGUCAUAUAACACAUAACAUGAUACGGUAUCCUAUUAUGAUGCAGAUACAUUAUAUCACAUAACAUCAUACAAUAUCUUAUGCAGGCUACAAACUCAAGCUACCCAAGUGAUUUUGGAGCCACAUUUAAAAAUAUGUAAAGAAACAGAUGAAGUUAAUUGUAUUGUAUCUGCAAAGUAUUCUCAUUCCACCAUGUGAUUGAUACAAACGUCAGUGAGUUCACAUUCUCCUUGCUGCGCCCUCAGGAAGUCGCGUGCGCUCUGCGCUUGUACCGUGUCUUGAUUCUGGCCAGCGAUGUGCAAACGCUCCGUGGCCACGUAUGCCCGCAGCUGCUGCACGAGCAGCUCAGCCCUGCACCCAGGGUCUCUGAGUGCCCUUGUGCCUUGCAAUCCUGAUGCCAAACGCCUAGCGUAGGUGCCUCCUCCCCAGCCCAGCCUUCUCACGCCUGACAGCCUUCUCUGUUUUCUCCGGGAAGCCACACCCGACUUUUGUGUCCAUCACGGACCUCUUUCGUCUCUGAGAGUUCGUUCCUUAAAAUAGGGUCGGUGGGCCUGGAUCAGACCCCCUCGGGGGCUGGUUAAGCCACACAUUCCCAGCUGAGUGGAAAUCAGUGGGGCAGGGUCUGGGGUCUGCAUCUGAGGCUGCUCUGGUGAUUUUUAUGUUGAGCUUUCAGACCCUUGUAAAGCCUCAUCUCUUUGUCCCUAGAUGCUAUGUUUCAGGCACCUGGAUGGCAGCUGCUGUCCCCAGACACCCCACUUCCUUGCUCACCACCAGACCAUUUUGCUCUUGCUAUUCAUCUCCACCUGGAAUUCUUGGAAGACUCCUAUUCAUCCUUCAAAACCCACCUCCAACAUCGCCCUGCCUUUCCUCUGAGAAGGUCUCCCUUCCCCGGCAGGUUCCCUCCCCAACCUCCCUUGCUCCUUGUAGAUCUGUGGUUUGCCUGCUGGUCCUGAGUCCCAAGUCCCUGAAGCACUGACACCUGCUGAGGGUCGUGACUGUCACCCAGCUCUUUGAGUCCCGGAGUCCGCCAGGUCCUGGCACAGAGAGGCCUCAGAGCGUGGAUGUGGGAUAAAUCCAGGCGUGUGUGGGUGGGUUGGUCUCUGCAAUCUCAGUAAACAUCUGGCCGCAGGGCCUGGCAGGAAGCUGACCUCGUGGGCACCACGCGGCUGGCAGCUGUGGCCGGUCUAUAAAUACAUUCUAAACGCGGACCAGCCCGUGUGCAUUCCUGCCUCGCCCGCCCUGGAGUGCCCUCCCAGCGGAAGAAAAGCCGCCAGCGGCCCUCCGUGCCCGGCCAAGCGGUCACUCCCGGUGAGUGGGAGCAUGCCCACAGCAGGGUCAGCCCAGGGCCCGCGGCAUCCGAUUGUUAGCUGAGCGCUCAGGGCCUGCCUGGAGCUGGGAGCCGCAUUUAGCUCUGGGAAAGGCUGUCCACACCAGCAGCCUGCUUUGCUUGGAUGUCUGGGCUGUGUUUAUGCCGGACCGGUGCCUGGGGAAUAAUUAGAGUCUCCAGAGGGCACCCAGGGGGGCCUGCCGUAGGCGGGAGGUGCCUGGGACCCAAAGCCCUGCUGUGUCCUGUGGCCCAGGGUGGGCAGAGCCCAGGAGCCCAUCGAGGAAAGAGCGGGAGUGGGUUCGCCCCAGUGCCGAGCUGCCCGGGCAGGAGGAGGGGUUC
This 5554-nucleotide long non-coding RNA is filed under the name Homo sapiens (human). RNAcentral describes it as "HSALNT0387755". Lineage: Eukaryota; Metazoa; Chordata; Mammalia; Primates; Hominidae. The record is from RNAcentral.